Molecule: ribosomal RNA, 529 nt
Filed under: uncultured bacterium
Lineage: Bacteria
Description: bacterial SSU rRNA
Rfam family: Bacterial small subunit ribosomal RNA
Source: RNAcentral
UGGGGAAUAUUGCACAAUGGGCGGAAGCCUGAUGCAGCGACGCCGCGUGGGGGAUGAAGGCCUUCGGGUUGUAAACUCCUUUCGACAGGGACGAAGCGUAAGUGACGGUACCUGUAUAAGAAGCACCGGCUAACUACGUGCCAGCAGCCGCGGUAAUACGUAGGGUGCGAGCGUUGUCCGGAAUUACUGGGCGUAAAGAGCUCGUAGGUGGUUUGUCGCGUCGUCUGUGAAAUUCCGGGGCUUAACUCCGGGCGUGCAGGCGAUACGGGCUGACUUGAGUGUUGUAGGGGAGACUGGAAUUCCUGGUGUAGCGGUGAAAUGCGCAGAUAUCAGGAGGAACACCGAUGGCGAAGGCAGGUCUCUGGGCAGUAACUGACGCUGAAGAGCGAAAGCAUGGGUAGCGAACAGGAUUAGAUACCCUGGUAGUCCAUGCCGUAAACGGUGGGCGCUAGGUGUAGGGGGCUUCCACGUCUUCUGUGCCGUAGCUAACGCAUUAAGCGCCCCGCCUGGGAGUACGGCCGCAAGGCUA